This is a long non-coding RNA of Hippocampus zosterae (dwarf seahorse), 944 nucleotides long. RefSeq lists it as uncharacterized. The record is from RefSeq and is a predicted model, not a curated record. Lineage: Eukaryota; Metazoa; Chordata; Actinopteri; Syngnathiformes; Syngnathidae. The transcript has 3 exons.
ACAUGAAAACUCCACGCAGGAAGGGCAGAAUCAAACACGGAACCUCUGCACUCUGAGGCCAACGUGCAAACCAGUCGACCACUGUGCUGCCCGGACACUUUGUAUGCACUGUGCAACAGCAUGUACAGAUCCUUCCCAUCUGCCUGUCUUUGUCUGCGGUCUUUAGAACCCCCGGCCUCCAGUCAGCCACCCAUAGAGGGAAGAUCAGCAGGUCAGCAGGUAAUUGAAGAGCAGCGACGUCGUCUGGCUGAGCUCAAGCAGAGAGCAGCAGAAUAGGAUCAGUGCCAGUGGGAGGCACUCCAUAGCUUGCAGCCUCACCUCAUCACCUCCGCGCCCCCCUUCCCCAGCAGUGACCUACAGUCCUACAUUGAGUCACGGAUCUGCAGGCGCCCCUCCUCUGGUCUAGCAUUCCAUCCUACACCACCAUCCAGCGUCGGCCGGAGAGCAGCCCGACAUCAGACUGAGCCUGGAGAGCCCAGACAGUAUGGACACCGGUGUGUCCACAGGCAACAACUCUGCCUGCUCGCCAGAUAAUUUGUCCAGUGUUGGAGGAACGGACGCGCUGAAGAUGGAAGAGAUGGAGAAAAUGCUGAAGGAGGCACAGAUCGAGAAAGCCAGACUUAUUGAGUUUAGGGUACGUGUCAUUACAACAGCGGCGGACAUCAGAUUUGCCUGAUUGAUGACGUUUUGGUGUGACGGGAUCAAUGAGGAGGAACGAUUGAAUACUGUAAUGAAGUCCUUUCAUUCUUUUUUACCAGUUCAUUGUCUGCCAGAUGUCACAGUGUUAAAAUAGUUGUCUGAAUGAAAAGCUUGUAUGGGGAUAGAAUGUUCUGAUGAGCGCAAGGACAGCAGAGUAAAAACAUCAAAAAGAUCCAUAUUGCGUCACAUGUACUCUAGUCAAAAUUAUUGAAAGAAAAAUCUCUCUUUCAGGAACAGGAGAGCUU